GGGGCUAUAGCUCAGUGGUAAAGUAUUUGACCGUAGCUCAAGCGGUCCCUGGGUCAUAUCUAGAUGCCCUUU
Molecule: non-coding RNA, 72 nt
Organism: Ameiurus melas (black bullhead)
Lineage: Eukaryota; Metazoa; Chordata; Actinopteri; Siluriformes; Ictaluridae
Source: the annotation of a GenBank genome assembly